This 494-nucleotide ribosomal RNA is filed under the name uncultured bacterium. Its description in RNAcentral is "partial 16S ribosomal RNA". It matches the Rfam family "Bacterial small subunit ribosomal RNA", at positions 355 to 865 of the family's 1533-position model. The record is from RNAcentral.
UGGGGAAUAUUGCACAAUGGGCGAAAGCCUGAUGCAGCAACGCCGCGUGAGUGAUGAAGGCCUUAGGGUUGUAAAGCUCUUUCAGCUGGGAAGAUAAAUGACGGUACCAGCAGAAGAAGCCCCGGCUAACUCCGUGCCAGCAGCCGCGGUAAUACGGAGGGGGCUAGCGUUGUUCGGAAUUACUGGGCGUAAAGCGCACGUAGGCGGAUUAGUCAGUCAGAGGUGAAAUCCCAGGGCUCAACCCUGGAACUGCCUUUGAUACUGCUAGUCUUGAGGUUGAGAGAGGUGAGUGGAAUUCCGAGUGUAGAGGUGAAAUUCGUAGAUAUUCGGAGGAACACCAGUGGCGAAGGCGGCUCACUGGCUCGAUACUGACGCUGAGGUGCGAAAGCGUGGGGAGCAAAUCAGGAUUAGAUACCCUGGUAGUCCACGCCGUAAACGAUGAAUGCCAGUCGUCGGGUUGCAUGCAAUUCGGUGACACACCUAACGGAUUAAGC